This 776-nucleotide ribosomal RNA is filed under the name uncultured Neocallimastigales. RNAcentral describes it as "partial large subunit ribosomal RNA". It matches the Rfam family "Eukaryotic large subunit ribosomal RNA", at positions 22 to 634 of the family's 3401-position model. Lineage: Eukaryota; Fungi; Neocallimastigomycota; Neocallimastigomycetes; Neocallimastigales. The record is from RNAcentral.
CAUAGCGACUAUCGUGGCAUAUCAAUAAGCGGAGGAAAAGAAACUAACAAGGAUUCCCCUAGUAACGGCGAGUGAGGCGGGAAGAGCUCAAAUUUGAAAUCUUAAAGGGUUUCCCUUUACGAAUUGUAGUUUAAAGAAGUGUUUUCUGUUGGAGUUUCGGUAAAAGUUCUUUGGAAUAGGACAUCAUAGAGGGUGAGAAUCCCGUAUUUGACCGUUACUUUCCAGCUGUGUGAUACACUUUCAAAGAGUCGGAUUGUUUGGGAAUGCAGUCCAAAAUGGGUGGUAAAUUUCAUCUAAAGCUAAAUAUUGGCGAGAGACCGAUAGCGAACAAGUACCGUGAGGGAAAGAUGAAAAGAACUUUGAAAAGAGAGUUAAACAGUACGUGAAAUUGUCAAAAGGGAAGCGUUUGACACCAGUGUUGUUUAGUUGAAAAUCAAUUCAAUAAUUUUUGAUUUUAAGUAGUAUUGACUUCAUCAGCUUGCUGCUUUCUUUUCAGGAAUUAUUGAAUGCACUUUUCAGUUAACAAGUCAACAUCAAUUUCUUUUGUUGUAAAAGGGUAAGAGGAAGGUGGCUUACGCUUCGGCGUAAGUGUUUAUAGCCUUUUACCUCUGCAAUCGGAGAGAUUGAGGACAGCAGCGUAGACUCUUCGGGGUUAGAUACACUUGUGCUAAGCUAUAGCCUUGUAUAGACAACUUGUUGACUAUGCUCAGUCAUGUAGCUUACUCGCUUAGUGCUAUUUUACCUACGCUUAGGAUGUUGAUAGUCACAGCGUGUAC